This 535-nucleotide ribosomal RNA is filed under the name Lepetodrilus fucensis. RNAcentral describes it as "SSU rRNA". It matches the Rfam family "Eukaryotic small subunit ribosomal RNA", at positions 1212 to 1752 of the family's 1831-position model. The record is from RNAcentral. Lineage: Eukaryota; Metazoa; Mollusca; Gastropoda; Lepetellida; Lepetodrilidae.
AACUCACCCGGUCCGGACACUGGAAGGAUUGACAGAUUAAAAGCUCUUUCUUGAUUCAGUGGGUGGUGGUGCAUGGCCGUUCUUAGUUGGUGGAGUGAUUUGUCUGGUUAAUUCCGAUAACGAACGAGACUCUAGCCUGCUAACUAGUUCGCCGGCAGCUCUUGUCGCGCGGCGCCGCUUCGGCGGCAAACUUCUUAGAGGGACAGGUGGCGUUUAGCCACACGAAGUAGAGCAAUAACAGGUCUGUGAUGCCCUUAGAUGUCCGGGGCCGCACGCGCGCUACACUGAAAGAAUCAACGUGGAUGCCCACCUGCUCCGAGAGGAGUGGGAAACCCGAUGAAUCUCUUUCGUGAUGGGGAUUGGGGCUUGUAAUUGUUCCCCAUGAACGAGGAAUUCCCAGUAAGCGUCAGUCAUCAGCUGGCGCUGAUUACGUCCCUGCCCUUUGUACACACCGCCCGUCGCUACUACCGAUUGAAUGGUUUAGUGAGACCCUCGGACUGGAGUCCGUCCGCCGCUUUCGGGUGGUGGAUGGGGA